AGUGAACGCUGGCGGUAGGCCUAACACAUGCAAGUCGAACGGCAGCACAGUAAGAGCUUGCUCUUACGGGUGGCGAGUGGCGGACGGGUGAGGAAUACAUCGGAAUCUACUUUUUCGUGGGGGAUAACGUAGGGAAACUUACGCUAAUACCGCAUACGACCUACGGGUGAAAGCAGGGGAUCUUCGGACCUUGCGCGAUUGAAUGAGCCGAUGUCGGAUUAGCUAGUUGGCGGGGUAAAGGCCCACCAAGGCGACGAUCCGUAGCUGGUCUGAGAGGAUGAUCAGCCACACUGGAACUGAGACACGGUCCAGACUCCUACGGGAGGCAGCAGUGGGGAAUAUUGGACAAUGGGCGCAAGCCUGAUCCAGCCAUACCGCGUGGGUGAAGAAGGCCUUCGGGUUGGAAAGCCCUUUUGUUGGGAAAGAAAAGCAGCAGGUUAAUACCCCGCUGUUCUGACGGUACCCAAAGAAUAAGCGCCGGCUAACUUCGUGC
This 493-nucleotide ribosomal RNA is filed under the name uncultured bacterium. Its description in RNAcentral is "partial 16S ribosomal RNA". It matches the Rfam family "Bacterial small subunit ribosomal RNA", at positions 29 to 508 of the family's 1533-position model. The record is from RNAcentral.